RNAcentral lists this ribosomal RNA (492 nucleotides) under uncultured bacterium. Its description in RNAcentral is "partial 16S ribosomal RNA". It matches the Rfam family "Bacterial small subunit ribosomal RNA", at positions 29 to 507 of the family's 1533-position model. The record is from RNAcentral.
AGUGAACGCUGGCGGUAGGCCUAACACAUGCAAGUCGAACGGCAGCACAGUAAGAGCUUGCUCUUACGGGUGGCGAGUGGCGGACGGGUGAGGAAUACAUCCGAAUCUACUUUUUCGUGGGGGAUAACGUAGGGAAACUUACGCUAAUACCGCAUCCGACCUACGGUUGAAAGCAUGGGAUCUUCUGACCGUGCGGGGUUGAAUUAGCCGAUGUCGGAUUAGCUAGUUGGCGGGGUAAAGACCCACCAAGGCGACGAUCCGUAGCUGGUCUGAGAGGAUGGUCAGCCACAUGAGAACGGAGCCGCGGUCCAGACGACUACGGGACGGAGCAGUGGGGAAUAUUGGACAAUGGGCGCAAACCUGAUCCAGCCAUAGCGCGUGGGUGGAAAAGACGUUCGGGUUGUGAAGCCGUUUUGUUGGGAAAGAAAAGCAGCAGGUUAAUACCCCGCUGUUCUGACGGUACUCAAAGAAUAAGCACCGGCUAACUUCGUG